RNAcentral lists this non-coding RNA (60 nucleotides) under Palpitomonas bilix. The record is from RNAcentral.
GAAGAAAGAGGCGAAAAAGAAGAGAGAAAGGAAAAAGAGGAGAAAGAAAAAGAAAAAGAU